UGUUACUAUAAAAGCCAUUGUUUUAUUAUUUCCAAAAAUUAUAUAUUUCCAGAGAAGUACAUUUACAAGAGUAUGGAAUGAUGAGCCAAAAUUGCUAUGUCUUUUUACUCACCCUUACUUGGCCCUUUCUCAUAUUCAUGUAACUGUAUCAGUAGUGGAUAACAGGUUGCCAUUCUUGGAUAAGCUGUGAGAAACCAUCUGGUAACUACUGAAGCCAGCCCAGGACUAUUGCAAAGGCAUAACCUUUACCUAAAGAAUCAGAGAACAUCACUUGAGUGGGUUUUGUUAUUUCUCUUAGUAUCAGAUGCUUUGCACAAAUUGGAUGAUGAUUUUUACCAGUUUAUUUUUUUCUAGGUUGCAGAGCUCAGUCUGGACUCACUAGGUAGUCACCAAGAACUGCAAACAGCAGGCCAAAAGCCAAGAAACACGACAGAAGUUCAGCCCAAACACGAGUGUUUUAGAAUGCUUGAACUUAGUGGGUCAGAAGUUCCUUUUUGUGGUACAGGAGAAAGGCGCUACUGAACUUUCUUCUUAUGAAAACUGUGAAACUAUUAAGUGCCUUUCAAAUAAAGAGGUGAGUGACCUACUCUACUUUUGUGGGUUGCAUUCUUUUGUAGGUUGCAUUCAGAACAAAAGAGAAUGUAUUCCUUUGCAUCCCAUGCAAGUAUCAAGCUUUUUUGCAUCAGCAUCUCUGGCCACAAUUAUUUUUUUCAUUAGCAUCUCUGGACACAAUUAGUAAGUAUGGCUACUAUCUCAUCUUGUAUAGAGAGCUGUAAGUCCCAUUUAGUGCAUAGAAGCAGAACUGCCAGCUGCCAGUAUCUCUGCUUCCAGACCCUAGUAGACCUGUGGCUUGGCUUGCGUACUACUUUAAAUUUCUGUUCUGUUUCUGGUUUAUGGAAAUCUUUAUUUUUGUUUUGAGACUAAAUAUAUCCUUUUGGUUUUUUGCUUUCUAUAUUUUAUCAUUGAUGUAUGUGUAAAACAAGGAUUUCAUCAAAAAGAUAUACAUCGUGUUUAUAAUUUUAUUUGGAAAUAAUUUCAAAUUUACAGAAAACUUUCUUGAAUGAUAGUUCUGUGUACCUCUACUUGAAUCACCUUUUAUUAACAGUCUGCUGCAUUUGCUUUAAUGUGUAUAGUUAUAUUCUCUCACUCACUCUCUUCUUACAGGAUGGUUACACUUUUCCUUUCCCACUUUCUCUCCUCCUCUCUGUAUGACAUUUUCUUACCCAUUUGAGAAUAAGCUAUACACAGCCUGGUACUUUACUGCUAAUUACUUCAGUUUGUAUUUCAUGGAAAUAAACAUACCAAAGCCAGGGCCUCAUACAUGCUAGGCACAUUUUCUACCACUGAACUACAGUCCCAGCCUUUAUUCGUUAGUUUUAAGUAAUUUGACUAUGAGGUAAUUUGGUGUGACUUUUUUCUUUCUUGUGCUUAUAGCUUGGUAAGCUUCUGUGAUUGGUGAAUGUAUCAUUUUUAUUGUUACAAAAACUUUUGACCGUUACUCGUUUUUUCUUUCACUACUUGCCUCUCCUUUAGGGAUUCCCAUUAUAGAUGCAUUAGGAUGUUAGAAUUGCCCUAUGUCUCAUCGAUGAUGUGUUCAUUUUUUUCCAAUUUUUUUUUGUUUUAGGUAUUUUUCGUUGCUAUGUCUUCAAGUUCCCUAAUCAUUUCUCUUGCAGUAUCUAAUCUACCGAUAAUCUUAUCCAAUUUACUUUUACCUCAAACACUAAUUUUAAUUUCUGCAGGUUAAAUUGGCUCUCUUAGAUCCAUGUCUUUAGUGUACCUCACACUUUCUUCUAGCCUUUUGAAUUUCAGAGUAUAGUUAUAGUUACCAUUUUCACAUCUUUACCUAUUAAUUUGAUGUUCUAUGUCAUAUGUGGAUUAGCUUUAACUGAUUUUUUUUUAACCAAUACUGAUACCACCUCAGUGAGGGUGCUGGUACUUUUAAAAUGUGGGUUCUAGGAUAUGAGAUCAUCAGGGACAUGCUGGCAGUCUCAGGCCUAGCUUUACGAAAGUUUUUCUUUCAAUUGUAGUGACAUUUUUUUUUCUCAGUAAGUGGAAUUCAAGGUGAAUGCUCUGUGUUUUGUCUAUCUGGUGCUCUCGCUCAUUCCCUUUCUCUCUCUCUCAUUCAACACUGGGGAUUGAAUCCAAGGUCUCACUCAUGCUAAGAAAGCAGUAUUCAACCAAGCUACAGCCAUAACCCUUUUUUAUCAUUUUAUUUUGAGAUAGGUUCUCACUAAGAUGCUCAGGCUGGCCUGGAACUUGUACUGUUCCUCCCUCAGCCUCUAAAGUAGCUGGAAUUAGAGGUUUGUGCUAUUAUGGGCGGUAAGUGAUUUUUAUUCUCAUCAUGGAUUUUAUUUUCAUGUUUUAUUGUAUUUCUGGUAGUUUUGAUUUGGUUUUUUGAGAUGGCCUGGCUAUGUAAUUUAGGCUUGUCUUGAACUAACUACAUAGCCCAGACUGUCCUCAAACUUACGGUGAUCCUCUUGCGUCAGCUUCCAGAGUGCUAGGUGUGCACCAUCACACCUGGCAUUCCUAGUCAUUUUUUGUGUUUUUAAAAAUUUUUUAUUGUAUAGUGAAUUUUACCUUACUAGGUACCACAUUUUGUUUGUUUUCCUGUAAAUAUUUUUGAGCUUUGCUCUGGAAUGUGGUAAAGUUACUUGAAAACACUUUGGUCCUUUUGGAUUGUACUUUUAAGGGUUUUUUUUAGGUGUAACUAGCAUGAAUUUUUCCUCAUUACUGAAGCAAAACCAUAUUUAGCACUUGAUGUUCCAUGAAUUAGGAGAUUUUAUGUUCUAUCUUUUGGGAAUAUAAACUCUUCUUGGUCCUGUGUGAGCCCUUACACUUCUUCUCUAUAAUCCUUUUGGGUAUUCUUUCUUGGAUUUUAUAUAGCUGAUUUACAUGGA
Fukomys damarensis (Damara mole-rat) is the source of this 2897-nucleotide long non-coding RNA. NCBI's taxonomy places the organism in Eukaryota, Metazoa, Chordata, Mammalia, Rodentia, Bathyergidae. The record is from Ensembl.